GCCAGGUGUGGUGGCGCACACCUGUAAUCCCAGCAGCUCAGGAGGUCUGAGGCAGGAGGAUAGGAGUUCAAAGCCAGCCUCAGCAAAAGCAAGGUGCUAAGCAACUCAGUGAGACCCUGUCUCUA
Molecule: small RNA, 125 nt
Filed under: Marmota monax (woodchuck)
Lineage: Eukaryota; Metazoa; Chordata; Mammalia; Rodentia; Sciuridae
Source: RNAcentral